GGUAGUAAAAGUCGUAACAAGGUUUCCGUAGGUGAACCUGCGGAAGGAUCAUUAUUGUAUAACCGAGGUGCGAGGGCUGUCGCUGACCCGAAAGGUCGUGCACGCCCGAGUGCCCUCACACACAUCCAUCUCACCCCUAUGUGCACCACCGCGUGGGUCCCCCUUUGGCUUGUUCGGAGGGGGGCUUACGUUUUCACACAAACUUUGUAUGCAGUGUAGAACGUAUUUUUUGUUUUUGCGAUCACGCAAUCAAUACAACUUUCAACAACGGAUCUCUUGGCUCUC
RNAcentral lists this unclassified non-coding RNA (285 nucleotides) under plant metagenome. RNAcentral's name for it is "partial contains small subunit ribosomal RNA, internal transcribed spacer 1, and 5.8S ribosomal RNA". The stretch from base 1 to 54 matches the Rfam family "Eukaryotic small subunit ribosomal RNA", at positions 1778 to 1831 of the family's 1831-position model. The record is from RNAcentral.